Long non-coding RNA from Cucumis melo (muskmelon), 521 nucleotides. RefSeq lists it as uncharacterized. The transcript is spliced from 3 exons. NCBI's taxonomy places the organism in Eukaryota, Viridiplantae, Streptophyta, Magnoliopsida, Cucurbitales, Cucurbitaceae. The record is from RefSeq and is a predicted model, not a curated record.
UAUAGGAAUCUGACUCUCUUAAAGACAUUCCUGUUGUGAUUAUGUCCUUUGAGAAUGUUCCAUCAAGAAUCAACAGUAUAACUGCUUCAAGGAGAUCUGUGGAGUACUAAAGCCUGGCCAACGUUUCGCUGCUUAUGAAUGGUGCUUGACCAACUCCUUCGAGCCAAAUAACCAGUAUCACCAAAAAAAUAAAGGCUGAAAUUGAGAUUGGCAGUGAGCUUUCAGACAUCAAGACAUUAGGAAAGUGUCCGGAAGCCUAAUGUAGGUGAAUGAAAUGGUGUCUUAAUCAGAGGACUAAAGAAUCUACGAUGAGAGUUAGCUCAUACCUAUAAUAUAGUCUUGAACACUUAUGGUGAACUUUGUAUUUUGAGGGUUAAUUUGUGUUGUUGGUACAUUUACUAGACUUUGUAUUUACCUUCAUAUCAUUUAGACCUCAACUUUAAUUAAGUAAAUUACUGAAUACUUUAUUUUGUAAUUUUAAUACAUUAUAAAUGGAAGUUAUUAGUAUAUUGUGCUGUGAA